ACGUACACUCCUGCGGGAGGCAGCAGUGGGGAAUCUUGCGCAAUGGGCGAAAGCCUGACGCAGCCAUGCCGCGUGAAUGAUGAAGGUCUUAGGAUUGUAAAAUUCUUUCACCGGGGACGAUAAUGACGGUACCCGGAGAAGAAGCCCUGGCUAACUUCGUGCCAGCAGCCGCGGUAAUACGAAGGGGGCUAGCGUUGCUCGGAAUUACUGGGCGUAAAGGGAGCGUAGGCGGACAUUUAAGUCAGGGGUGAAAUCCCGGGGCUCAACCUCGGAAUUGCCUUUGAUACUGGGUGUCUUGAGUAUGAGAGAGGUGUGUGGAACUCCGAGUGUAGAGGUGAAAUUCGUAGAUAUUCGGGAGAACACCAGUGGCGAAGGCGACACACUGGCUCAUUACUGACGCUGAGGCUCGAAAGCGUGGGGAGCAAACAGGAUUAGAAACCCCUGUAGUCCCAUGA
Molecule: ribosomal RNA, 455 nt
Filed under: uncultured organism
Description: partial 16S ribosomal RNA
Rfam family: Bacterial small subunit ribosomal RNA
Source: RNAcentral